UGCAUCUUCAUAUCCUCACACCACCGAAUUCAAUGGAAGAGUCUUACCAUUGCUUGCAGCAAGUCCUGCCAUUUACUCUUUUCUUAUUGGCCCCAAAUGAGUCACGUGCUCAUGUGUGGAUCAAUCCUGUGGCUAAGGAGAUGAAAUGAUCUGCCCCACUCAGGGCUGAGAAUGAGGUCUCACUUUAGCUGCGUCGCCAGAAUGGUGUUUCCAAGCAAAACUGUGUUGCUGGUGUGGAUGCCAGGCAAUAAACACACAAUUUCUGCUACAUGGAAAUUUCUCAUCAGUGGGUAAAAGGUCUACACCUUGAAGCAUUAAGACUCAGGCAUCUGCACCAAAAAUUUUACAUCUUUGGCAUAAACCCGAGUGAGAUGAGGAACCAGGACCCUCG
RNAcentral lists this long non-coding RNA (391 nucleotides) under Rhinopithecus roxellana (golden snub-nosed monkey). RNAcentral describes it as "lncRNA (ENSRROG00000046079.1)". The record is from RNAcentral. Lineage: Eukaryota; Metazoa; Chordata; Mammalia; Primates; Cercopithecidae.